ACAACGGAAAAAUCUCGGCUGUGCUAUAUGAAGAUUGGCGACAGGAAAGGACGACUGGUGAUCUCGAGAGCUUUUGAUCAAAUACAAGUUUUUGUUCAAAUGCUCGGGGGCUACUUUAUAAAGGUAUAUCAAGAAGAUUGAUGGACAUGAUUCAGAAGGGGACGAUUCAACAAUAUUGCGACAGACACAAAUUGGAGCCUACAGCCAAGUAUAAAUCCUCGACUGUAGCCUCGGGGGCUACUCCCAUCGGGAGCGCUGUUCGCGCUCCCGAUAAAUAUGGACAAUAUAGUGGGGCAGAUGCUAAAAAGGUGAGCCUACAACCAAACACAAGUGUUUGGCUGUAGCCUCGGGGGCUACUCCCAUCGGGAACGCUGUUCGCGUGCCCGAUGAAAUUUAGUAAGUACUAGGGAGCAUAUUUCGAGUCGUUAAAAUAACUCUUCAUAUACUCCCAUCGGGAGGAUAAGUUAAAAACAAUAUAAGUCAUCUGUUGACUCGAACAAAUGUGCUAUUCCAGCAGCCGAAAAAGCACCCGACAAUAUAUUCUCAGAGCACCUCAGUCGUGAAAUAAUCUCUGAAUGCCGCAAAACUCUGCGAAGGUAAGUCCCCGGGAUCCAUCCUGUGCGGCGUGGCACUGCCUCUGACGGCACUUUGCUACUUUUUCCGUAUCAACAGAUACGAAGAAAAAUCCUAACGGACGCGUUAGGUACCCGAUAAAACAUGACUGGGAUUCGACAUCCGGUAAGACCUUAAGCGGCACAAGUCAAAUUUCACCAGUAUCCCGAGAUCAUGUCCAGGGACGUGAUUUUGAAGUAGGUUUUGGUGGAUUGCCACGAGAGCAGUUAACUGGUACCUGAUCCGUCAGAUGAACCAGCCCCAAUUACCAUUAUCCCUGUACAAUAUAUAAAUACCUUUAUAAAUAUAAUUUGUCGAGUUAAAGAAAUCAUGUGCAGAUUGUAGAAAGGGAGAUUUUCCUUGAUUCUGCGAUUCAAGCAAAAUCUCGGGGGCUACUGACAUAGGCAUCCCCAAUGGGCCUGCCGAAGAAGGUACCCGGGGUUUAUUGAAGGCCCAUGACCCAAAGUUUUACAAAGCCCGGAAGCCCAAUCGAGAUAUAGUUUGGAAAGAUAGAAUUGUAUUAGGAAUAUCGAUUUGCAAUUAUCACGGGACGGGUCAGAAUCCCUCCCGGACUCUGUAAACUUGUGUAUUACGAAACCCUCGACUCCGCCUCCUAUAUAAGGGGGAGUCGAGGGACAAAGAAAGGAUCGAUUCAUUGUUUCACGCAACCCUAGUUUUUAUAGCAGUCGAGUACUUUUCCGGCUGAAACCUUCGAGAUCUACUUGCCCUCUACUUCCGACUAAACCCUAGUCUACAACCCGUAGGCAUUGAUAAGUUAAUCCCUUAUCACUAGUGGAUUAAUUAUUAGGAUUAUAAUUAAUUGGCCAAUUAGUAUUCACGUACGUAUGCUAUAGUUUAUUAUUGUGCUAGAGCUAAUUUGGGUCAGUAUCCUACAUACACGCACAUGAGUACAUGACUCGGUCAGACCCGUACACGUACGAGUCCAACACAACCCAGCGCCUCACAUCUCUCUCACUCUCGUUCCUAUCUCUUUCUCCACCACGAGCACGCACGCGACCAGGACGCACUCCUCGCACGCGCCUGUGAUGGCGCUGCCGCCACCCGCUGCUCCGGCCGUCGCCGGCCAGGUCCGGCACCGCCGCUCUCCAAUUCGACUUCGCCUCCAUCUCUUCUCCUAUUUCCCCACCGUCUCGACGUUCGGCCGUGCUCCACGCACGACCCCUGCGAACCCUAGCCCGCCUUGGCCGCUGCCGGCCUACUCCGGCACCGGCAAGACAUUUUUCUGGCUCCCUCGACGUCCUCUACCUCUCUGUCCCGUUCGAUUUGAUUUUCCAGCUCUACCUCGUCCGCCCCCAAACCUGGAAACCCUAGCGGUCGCUGGUUGGUUUGGCCGUCGCCGGCCAACCCCUGCGCCGCCGCUGGUCGCUGCUACUGUCCGGUGAGGCUUCGCCCUCACCCGCCGCCUCGAUGCCGCCCUACGUGCGCGUGCCGCCCUGCUCCUGCUCACGCCCAGCGCUCCCUGGUGUGGCUCCGCCGCCAUCUUCUCCCGGCCAUUGAUGGCCUCCUUCGGCGCCGCUGCUGUUUGACCGGCGGGGCUCCACCAUAUACGCGCCGCCACCAUGCCUCCAAGCGCCUCCACGCGCGCUCGGCCAAACCCUAGGUUCGCCAGUGUGAUGCUGCAAGCCGCUGCUGCUCCCCAUUGGCGACCCCGCCUCCUCGUCGACCAUGAGCCCCAGCUCAAGCUCGCCAUCUCGGUGGUGUCUGGUGGUUUGGUGUGCUGUUCAUGGCGCUGUGUCGUGCUGUUGCGACUACUUCAUCCUCGACGCCGGCUGGACGGUGCCGCGAACGCAACCCCGGCUGGACGGUGCCAUGGACGCAACCCCGGCGUCGCCUACCUCGCCACUUCCUGUACACUGAAAAGAAUCAGAAGAUUGGGAGAGAUUUGGAGGAUGAAGACUUAGUUUAGGAUUUCCUCUUUAUUACUUUUGUAAUCUUCUAUUUCUUUUGGAGCUUUUAAAUGAUUGAAUUAUGAUAAUUGUAAUAAGGUUUAAUUAUGUAUCUAUUUUGAAUUAUCAAAUGUGUGAACUUUUACA
Molecule: long non-coding RNA, 2666 nt
Organism: Lolium perenne
Lineage: Eukaryota; Viridiplantae; Streptophyta; Magnoliopsida; Poales; Poaceae
Source: RefSeq, a predicted model, not a curated record